Molecule: transfer RNA, 72 nt
Filed under: Marmota monax (woodchuck)
Lineage: Eukaryota; Metazoa; Chordata; Mammalia; Rodentia; Sciuridae
Rfam family: tRNA
About the family: Transfer RNA (tRNA) molecules are approximately 80 nucleotides in length. Their secondary structure includes four short double-helical elements and three loops (D, anti-codon, and T loops). Further hydrogen bonds mediate the characteristic L-shaped molecular structure. tRNAs have two regions of fundamental functional importance: the anti-codon, which is responsible for specific mRNA codon recognition, and the 3' end, to which the tRNAs corresponding amino acid is attached (by aminoacyl-tRNA synthetases). tRNAs cope with the degeneracy of the genetic code in two manners: having more than one tRNA (with a specific anti-codon) for a particular amino acid; and 'wobble' base-pairing, i.e. permitting non-standard base-pairing at the 3rd anti-codon position.
Source: Rfam by way of RNAcentral
UGGGCUGGGGCUCAGGGGUAGAGCACGUGCCUGGCAUGCUUGUGGCACUGGGUUCGAUCCUCAGCACCACAU